GACGAACGCUGGCGGCGUGCUUAACACAUGCAAGUCGAACGGAAAGGCCCUGCUUGCCGGGUACUCGAGUGGCGAACGGGUGAGUAACACGUGGGUGAUCUGCCCUGCACUUCGGGAUAAGCCUGGGAAACUGGGUCUAAUACCGGAUAGGAGCCAUUUUUAGUGUGAUGGUUGGAAAGUUUUUUCGGUGUAGGAUGAGCUCGCGGCCUAUCAGCUUGUUGGUGGGGUAAUGGCCUACCAAGGCGGCGACGGGUAGCCGGCCUGAGAGGGUGGACGGCCACAUUGGGACUGAGAUACGGCCCAGACUCCUACGGGAGGCAGCAGUGGGGAAUAUUGCACAAUGGGCGCAAGCCUGAUGCAGCGACGCCGCGUGGGGGAUGACGGCCUUCGGGUUGUAAACUCCUUUCGCUAGGGACGAAGCUUUUUGUGACGGUACCGAGAUAAGAAGCACCGGCUAACUACGU
This 464-nucleotide ribosomal RNA is filed under the name uncultured bacterium. RNAcentral describes it as "partial 16S ribosomal RNA". It matches the Rfam family "Bacterial small subunit ribosomal RNA", at positions 28 to 506 of the family's 1533-position model. The record is from RNAcentral.